Molecule: long non-coding RNA, 1282 nt
Filed under: Nicotiana benthamiana
Lineage: Eukaryota; Viridiplantae; Streptophyta; Magnoliopsida; Solanales; Solanaceae
Description: long non-coding RNA (NBEN_LNC041528)
Source: RNAcentral
AAACAAAAUCUCUUUCCUUCUUACAUUUAAAGGUCUUCUAUCUUUAAAUUGUUCUCCUACACAAGGUAUGCUCUUAAUACUAAAGGGACAUAUGUUACCUAUACACAGUCUAUAUGUUGAGCUACAACAAUAACAACAACUCAGUAUAAUCUCACUUAGUGGGGUCUGGGAAGGGUAGAGUGUACGCAGAUCUUACCCUUACCCUUGGGUAGAGAGGCUGUUUCCAAAUAGACCCCCGGCAUCCUUCCCUCCAAGAACUUCCCACCUUGCUCUUGGGGAGAACGCAGACCUUACCCCUACCCUUGGGUAGAGAGGCUGUUUCCAAAUAGACCCCCGGCAUCCUUCCUCCAAGAACUUUCCACCUUGCUCUUGGAGAGACUCGAACUCACAACCUCUUAGUUGAAAGUAAGGGUUGCUUACCAUCAGAGCAACCGCUCUUGUCAAUAUAUGUUGAGCUACAUUUUCCUUAAUUUACAGGGUGAGAGUAUAUUUGAUGGUGCGAUAAGGGAGGUCAAAGAAGAAACUGGAGUAAGUUUACACAAUACUCAAUUCCACGUAAAUUCAUAUACUAACAUAAAUUUUCUGCUGUUACUUCGCUGCAAUUAAUUUUUUCUCUGACAUGCAUUUACCUUGUUUUUGUUUUAUCGCAGAUUGAUACAGAAUUUCUGGAAGUGCUUGCAUUUAGGCAUAUUUGUGCAAUUUUCUUUUAUGUUUGAGGAAUAAUUAUAUAUAGUUGGUUAUGCACCAGAGAGAGUACUCUUGCGAGAAGGAGAAAACGUAUCGUGGCUAAGACCUAACUUUUCAUGUUUUAGAAGAAAAAAAAAGCUAAAAAGAAUAUUGUAGAGCCAUGAUAAUCAACUACUCCUAUCCAUUGAAGUUUUAUUAUCAAAAGGUCAAAAUAAUACUAACAUUCAAUUGGUCAUGGUUCUUGCUUUUUGUACUCAUAGUGUUAUCAUCUACUACUCCAAGUCUCCAACCAUCCCAAAAAAAGAUGAACCUUUCCGAAUAUGCACUACCAAAAAAAACUCAAAUUACAAAAAAAAAAAAAUAUUGGUAAAUUGAUCAAAUUGGUUGGUAUUUUAACUUACUAACCGAUUACCAACGGAAAUUGGUCUGUUGCUAAAAGGCUCGAUGGUAAAUUUUACCAACUAGAUUGAAUUGGUUGGUAAACUUACCAACUAAAAAUUAAUUAGUAAACACCAAAUAAAUAUGUUGGCAAAUAUUGAAUCUUGAGUCCAAGAUUUUCGUUGGUAAAUUUACUAACAAAAAUUCAGUUGGAAGU